Stegostoma tigrinum is the source of this 4328-nucleotide long non-coding RNA. RefSeq lists it as uncharacterized. Lineage: Eukaryota; Metazoa; Chordata; Chondrichthyes; Orectolobiformes; Stegostomatidae. The transcript is spliced from 3 exons. The record is from RefSeq and is a predicted model, not a curated record.
UAGCCAGCAUGGCAUCUACCUCCGCGAGGAGCAAACAUAAAACCAACAGAUAGAUAGAAACCCAGGCUGAGUGAGUCGUGAUGUCAGAGUGCUCUCGGUCGUGAGUUAAAGAGGACCAUUGCAGAAUUGGAGAUGGGAAAGCUUUCCACACACUGCGGGCUCUUCUACACCGAACCAUUCAAUUCCAGGCAGCCUUGAGCCUGUGGUAGAAACGGGAAUUCAUUCCGUGCACCCAUUCGGAAAUACUGUCCCCGCACAAUUCGCAGUGAAAGUUGCUCACUAUUGAUCGUCCGGCCUUUCUGCCCAGUUCUGAUAUCCCACUGGGUAGCUGCUGGCUGAAGGCUGGUCACACCAACCAUUCCCCAUUGGCCACCAACUGGAGUGACCUCAUCAGCCGCAGGACUGGAGAUCAAAAUGCUCCUGGCUUCUCACAGUCAGACACCAUGCUGCAGUGCGGGGCUCUGAAAGGCAAGGUUUCCCCUGGGACAUCUUCCAGCCCUGGCUUUGGGCCUUACUGUUUUCCACGAUCUUGGCUGCUACUUUUGUCCCUGCGAGGCAGCCAGGCCCUCCACUCCUGUUCCUUCAUCCUCAGCUUUCCUCUAUUCUUCUGGGAAGUUUUACUCGAGGAUGUGCAAACCGUUUCCCUAACUGAGGAAAAGGUCCCAGUUCACCGCCGGCGUUGCUCCAGCUUCCAUCCCUGAUCCCCACUUCUUCCUUAUCUCCAUUCAGGGCAGAGAUACAGGGUUAGCCCGCCCCACCACACAGACACACACAAAGCUCUGUGUCUUCAGCACCUCUUUCAACGCCUCCAUUGUUUUCACUGCGACUUCCAGCCAGUGCUGUACGAAAUUCUGUUUUCACUAGUUUCACAGUAUCUUGAGGUCUCCCAGUUUUGACUCAAUCUUGCUCUCUCGGUCCUAUUGUCUCAGGCUGAAUCAUUUGCAACCUCAAUCCAAAAUCGGCCUUGCAAAUCCAUUCGCAAAGUAGACAUUGAAGCAUUUAUACAUGUUUUACAAAUUGCCAGAAUGUGUCACAAAUAAUAGUCUUCGAAAUAUUUGCGACUGUUUGCAAAAGGGAAGGUGAGAAAAUUGUGUACUUUUGUCCUCAGCCCACGUCAAGACCUAGCUUCAGUCCCAUAACUGUUCGUUCAGUUGUUUGCUGUGAUACACUGAUUACCUCAUUGGCGUAUUUAUCUCUUCCUUUUGGAAAGUGAUUGGUGUAGGCGUCGGGAGCCAGUUAGCUUCUGAAAGGGCGGAGGAGGCAAAUUCAAUCAUAGGUUUGAAAAGGGAAUUGACCAAGAACGUGAACGAGGAUUAAAUUUGCAACGCUUUUGGGGAAUUGACGGAAGAGCAAUGAACUAAAUUACUCUAGAAGGGAGUUGCAUAGGCUUGAUGAAGCGAAUGGUGUCCUAUUCAACUAUUCCACACUAUCUUUUUGGAACAUUGUCUUCAACCCUGCCACAGCCCAAGACCAGGUCAAAAUCUGACUUCCAGACUCAAUUAUUUUAAGGCUGUCAUGGUGGACUCCCACUCUCUGGCCUCCAGGAGUAUUAAUUCAUCUAAAACACUGCUGCCAAUAUCUUAUUCUGCAUUAUGUCCUAUCCACUUGGCACCUUGUCCUCACCGACCAGCAGUUGAAACCUGUACCUCACGGAGUCUAGUUUAGUAACCUGAUGCUUGAGUUUAAUUCUUAUCAUGGUCUCAAGUCUCAUUACCUUCAUAACCUCUGCCAUUCCUACAAACUUUCCAGAAUCUUCCAUUCCUCUUUUUCUGGCCUUUUGUGCAACUCCUUGUACUGCACCCACCAUCAGUCACUGCAUUGUUAGCCAUACAGACCCUAUGUUUAUUAGUGUUCCCCUACUUUUAAGAACGUUUUCCAAAAUUUUAUUUUUUGACCAAGUUUUUGACCCUAACUCUUACUAUAUCUGUCCUUGGCCCAAUAGUCAUUUCAUUUUAUUGAGCCUUUGUGAAGCUGUUUGGGACAUGUCUCUUCAGUACAUGCAUAUUAUUGUUCUUCUUUGCUCAAUGGCUUUCUGUAAUCUUCUGUACUAGGUCCCUUAUUCUUCUCAUGUUCCACAUGUGAUGUCUAGUUCAAUAUGUUUGUAAUGUACUAUCUACUGACAACACAAAAAGGCAACCAACAAAUUAGUAUCCCUUCAAUAUUUAAUCUUCAUCUUGGUAUAAAUUAAGAAAAUACUGGGAAUACCUAACAGGUUAGGCAACAUCUGUGGAAAUGAACAGAGUUAAUGUGAUGAACUUUCAUCAGAACAGUCUAGGUAUCCUGUGACAUAUUUAGUCAAUGAGUAUAGGAGAUUGACAGCAUUUAAAGGCAUCUGCAUCAAUUGAGUGAAUGCAGCGCAAAAUCAUGCAAAAUAAUUGAUAAAAGAAGUAAGCUGCAAUCUGAGACAAAACGUUCUUGUAUAGUAAAUGGUUAAUGUCUCGAAUGUAUUGGCUCAAAGUGUGAUAGAGGCAGAGUGAAUUAAGACAUUGGAAAGGCUCUUAGACUGUUAACAGAAAAAGAACAAUGUGCAGGGUUACAGGGAGAAGGCAGGAAAUUGGCACUAAAAUGAAUGUUUAUUUGGAGAGCCAGUGUAGACUGAAUGGGUCAAAUGACUCCUUCUGCACAGUAACAAUUCUGUGAUUCUGUUACAGAUGGAUUUAUAAACUAUAUCAAUAUGAGUUUUUGGAAUCUGAAACCAGGAAGUUGAACCAUCUGUAUGAGAUGAAUGGGUUCUACAGGAGAGAACUAAUUGAAGGUUUAGGUGAUUUCAAAUCCUCCCAAAAAUACCAUGAGUGCCUCUUAUUCAGGUUCAGUGUCAUUCCUUUGUGUUGAUCCUUUACUUCAUGAAACAGAAGGAUAAAUAGAACUAUAAAACUAAAAUACCAUGGAUGCCAGAAAGCUGAAAUAAAACCGGAGAAUAUUGAUAAUACUUUAGCAGGUCUGCCAGCAUCUGUGGGGACAGAGAGGGAGAGAGAGAGAGACAGAGUUAACAUUUUUGAUGUUAAUGACAUGCUAAAUAUUUCCAGCAAUUUUGCAGAAAAAUAUUAGAAGUAGAACCCCUACAGUGUGGAAACAGGCCCUUUGGCCCAACAAGGCCCACCAAACCUCAGAGCAUCCCACCCAGACUCACCCCCACCCCCACAACCCACACCUCCCUGAACACUAUGGACAAUUUAGCAUGGCCAAUCUGCCUAACCUGUACAUCUUUGGACUGUGGGAGGAAACCGGAGCAAACCCACGCAGGCACAGGGAGAAUGUGCAAACUCCACACAGACAGUCACCCGAGGCUGGAAUCGAACCUGGGUCCCUGGUGCUGUGAGGCAGCAGUGCUUGCCACCGUGCCACAGGAAAUUGGGAUGAGAUGCUGACUUUGGACCAGUGGAGACAGCACUGACUGUGUCCAGUAGUGGAAAGACGGAAUUUGGUGUGCUCUUUAUUUGGUUACCUUUGGGAAGGUGUGAGUCAAUGGUAGAUUACCCCAUACACUCUCUCGUGAUAUCCUGGUGAUGUCGUGUCAAUAAUAGGGUGGAUGAUAUGUGUUUUUAUGGAAGGGGCAAGCUCAGUCGGUCAAAUGAUCUUCUCUACCAGGUGUUCUAAUAUUCAGUCAUUCAAGUAAAAUGCUUAAUUGAUUUCCACUUCUCUUGACAGAUAUAUUUUGAGACUCCAAUGGGGAUGCACUUGCGUCUGAAGCUGAGGCAGCUACACAAACCGAUCUCCUUGUACUAGUUGGGAUGAGAAGGGAAAGAUGAGGGGGAAGAACCUACGACUGAUCAGCUCCUCAAAUUGGACAUCACGUGGUCAGUGACUGUGGCUUGUGUGUGGAGUUGGUGCAGAACCACUGAGGCUGCAAAGAGAAAACAUCUGAAGACAAUCUUUCUCUCAGACUCUGUCCCAUGUGGAGGUACAGAAAGUCUCCAUCAAAAGCUACUCGUCUUCGAUUAACUUUUUUUCUGCAAAUGCCCUGCUGAAGAAGGAAUAAAGUGCCUUUAAAGACAGUGAAAUAAUGAAUUCUCAACCAAUGAAUGAAAGAGAGCAUUGCUGUGCAAAUACUCUUGUAUCAACAACAAAGUACUAAAAGGAAUUGGAAGAAACCUUGAAAACAACUAAUCAAUUCCUAUAGUCCAGAUUGGCGCUCUGGAACUGUGCUUUCCUGAUUUUAUAUUCUCUUUUUUACUCAUAGUAUCCAUGUCUUCUCUGUCUGUUUGUUAAGGGGGAAUCUUAUUAGUGCAGAAUUAAAUUACUCAAAGUUAUAAGCUAUCAAGUUAUUCUUCCUAAUUGCCAUGGGUUAAAGAUAAAUAAAGACACUAUUUUCUUGUUAAGUACAGAAA